This 515-nucleotide ribosomal RNA is filed under the name uncultured bacterium. Its description in RNAcentral is "partial 16S ribosomal RNA". It matches the Rfam family "Bacterial small subunit ribosomal RNA", at positions 28 to 523 of the family's 1533-position model. The record is from RNAcentral.
GAUGAACGCUGGCGGCGUGCCUAAUACAUGCAAGUCGAGCGAAUGGAUUAAGAGCUUGCUCUUAUGAAGUUAGCGGCGGACGGGUGAGUAACACGUGGGUAACCUGCCCAUAAGACUGGGAUAACUCCGGGAAACCGGGGCUAAUACCGGAUAACAUUUUGAACCGCAUGGUUCGAAAUUGAAAGGCGGCUUCGGCUGUCACUUAUGGAUGGACCCGCGUCGCAUUAGCUAGUUGGUGAGGUAACGGCUCACCAAGGCAACGAUGCGUAGCCGACCUGGGAAGGUGAUCGGCCACACUGGGACUGAGACACGGCCCAGACUCCUACGGGAGGCAGCAGUAGGGAAUCUUCCGCAAUGGACGAAAGUCUGACGGAGCAACGCCGCGUGAGUGAUGAAGGCUUUCGGGUCGUAAAACUCUGUUGUUAGGGAAGAACAAGUGCUAGUUGAAUAAGCUGGCACCUUGACGGUACCUAACCAGAAAGCCACGGCUAACUACGUGCCAGCCGCCGCCAUAA